CUCAGCGUGUGCUAUUAUACUUGUUAUGUCUAAGAAUAUUGCAGAGAGCAAGUGUAGUGUUGGAGGAUAACAGCAAUCCCACCAAGUUCGAUCUAUGAGAGGUUUGUGUGGUCCUGAUUUCGGAGCACCUUUUGCGUUGACCGCUCCUUUGAAAACCCAAAAUGUGAGUGAGUUUGUAGGACCGCUGAAAGACGAGGGUUCCAACAGUUGACACUUCGAUGUCUAGGAAGCAGCUGGUUGCUGAACAGAGAAAAUAUGCUUCCCUCAUAUUUUUGCAUCCAGAGGAGGAGUUUGAUGAGGUUUGUGUGGGUUACGUUGACAGAGAUAGUGUUCUGCUGAGGAAGUGGCGUUCCCCUCUUCUGGGCAAGACGAUUGGCCCAGUGGAUCUCAAAUUCUAGUUACGCUUCGACAAGAGAUGGCGUCUUGGGGUUAACAAGACGAAUGACCGUAUCUUGGUUAAUUUCUGGUCUGGAACAUGAUAUUGUGGUUUACUGUGAAUCCUGUCACGUUUGCCAGGUGAUGGGUAAACCGAACAGUGCCAGUUCACCUUUGCACCUCUGGUUUUGACUAACCUUUCAGCAGGUUUAUUGGUUCUUUGCCCAAAACAACGAGUGGUAACCAUGUGUGCUGCGACUUGUUUCCCUGAGGUUAUUCCACUGAAGAAAAUCCCAAGGAAAGUUACUACGGAUAUUGCCGGAGUUUCCCCUUGAAAUCAGACAUGUCCAUGUUUAGGCUAGAGAUAUGUCAGCCUGCCGCAUCUGCAGUGGAAGGUGGCCGAGCUCCAGAGGUGUUUGUCAGACCAUGAGACGUCCUGAAAUCGAUUCUUCUCACAGAAAUGUGUCACGGGACUCGUCUGAAGGCAACCCAUACAAACAAAGAAGUAUGGAGGUAGUUGUGCCAACAAAAAUAAGGGGUUAAAUGUGUCCAAAAUAAAUAAAUGAUCCAUGUUAUCACCAUCUUAAAACAAUUAAACAUGUUAGCUUAGACCCCACCCCCAUCUAUUUUGGACAUAGUGUGUUCGGAAAGUAUUCAGACCCCUUGACUUUUUCCACAUUUUGUUACAUUACAGCCUUAUUCUAAAAUGGUUCAUUUUUUCCCCCCUCAUCAAUCUACACACAAUACCUGAUAAUGACAAUGCAAAAACUGUUUUUAUAAUUUUCUUUCAAAUGUAUCAACAAAAAUAAAGAUAUUUACAUAAAUAUUCAGACCUUUAACUCGGUACUUUGUUGGAGCACCUUUGGCAGCGAUUACAGCCUCGACUCUUCUUGGGGAUGACGCUACAAGCUUCACAUAGCUGGAGGGCAAACUACCUGCCCUCCAGGACACCUACACCACCCGAUGUCACAGGAAGGCCAUAAAGAUCAUCAAGGACAACAACCACCCGAGCCACUGCCUGUUCACCCCGCUAUCAUCCAGAAGGCGAGGUCAGUACAGGUGCAUCAAAGCUGGGACCGAGAGACUGAAAAACAGCUUCUAUCUCAAGGCCAUCAGACUGUUAAACAGCCACCACUAACAUUGAGUGGCUACUGCCAACACACUGACUCUACUCCAGCCACUUUAAUCAUGGGAAUUGAUGUAAAAUAUAUCACUAGCCACUUUAAACAAUGCCAGAAUCUCUAGUGGCACAGCUAGCACUGCGAUGCAGUGCCUUAGAC
Molecule: long non-coding RNA, 1655 nt
Organism: Oncorhynchus tshawytscha (Chinook salmon)
Lineage: Eukaryota; Metazoa; Chordata; Actinopteri; Salmoniformes; Salmonidae
Source: Ensembl